Molecule: ribosomal RNA, 164 nt
Filed under: Downingia ornatissima
Lineage: Eukaryota; Viridiplantae; Streptophyta; Magnoliopsida; Asterales; Campanulaceae
Description: 5.8S ribosomal RNA
Rfam family: 5.8S ribosomal RNA
About the family: 5.8S ribosomal RNA (5.8S rRNA) is a component of the large subunit of the eukaryotic ribosome.
Source: RNAcentral
AAAACGACUCUCGACAACGGAUAUCUCGGCUCUCGCAUCAAUGAAAAACGUAGCAAAAUGCGAUACUUGGUGUGAAUUGCAAAAUCCCGUGAACCAUCGANUCUUUGAACGCAAGUUGCGCCCGAAGCCAUUAGGCCGAGGGCACGUCUGCCUGGGCGUCACGC